This 446-nucleotide ribosomal RNA is filed under the name uncultured bacterium. Its description in RNAcentral is "bacterial SSU rRNA". It matches the Rfam family "Bacterial small subunit ribosomal RNA", at positions 330 to 793 of the family's 1533-position model. The record is from RNAcentral.
CCCAGACUCCUACGGGAGGCAGCAGUGGGGAAUAUUGCACAAUGGGGGGAACCCUGAUGCAGCGACGCCGCGUGGGUGAAGGAGUACUUCGGUACGUAAAGCCCUAUCAGCAGGAAAGAAAAUGACGGUACCUGACUAAGAAGCCCCGGCUAACUACGUGCCAGCAGCCGCGGUAAUACGUAGGGGGCAAGCGUUAUCCGGAUUUACUGGGUGUAAAGGGAGCGUAGACGGCAGUGCAAGUCCGGAGUGAAAGCCCGGGGCUCAACCCUGGGACUGCUCUGGAAACUGUAAAGCUGGAGUGCGGGAGGGGCAGGCGGAAUUCCUGGUGUAGCGGUGAAAUGCGUAGAUAUCAGGAGGAACACCGGCGGCGAAGGCGGCCUGCUGGACCGUAACUGACGUUGAGGCUCGAAAGCGUGGGGAGCAAACAGGAUUAGAUACCCUAGUAC